Molecule: long non-coding RNA, 2969 nt
Organism: Lathyrus oleraceus (garden pea)
Lineage: Eukaryota; Viridiplantae; Streptophyta; Magnoliopsida; Fabales; Fabaceae
Exons: 9
Source: RefSeq, a predicted model, not a curated record
CUAAAAGAAAUAAAUAAAAGGAAACAAAAAAAAUGAAAGAAAAUGAAAAAUACUGUAAUGUAAACCCAAGAGAGUCAUCGUCCUCCAUCCCCCUCAAUCUCGCUCUCUCGCUCUCUCUUCUCUCGCUCUAUCUUCUCUCAAUCUCGCUCUCUCUUCUCUCAAUCUCAAUCGCUCUUGCGUCUCCCUCACAACCCAUUCUCCCAAAACCUCAGUCAUUCAUCACAUCUCAGGUUCACGAAUUUGAUUUUCAUUCAAAGAGACUCAAGUAAGAGCUCACCUUCGGCGACGACGACGGCUCAGCUAAUGAUCGAAUCUCCUUCCUUCGUCUCUUUCAAUCAGUUUCUUUUCUGAUUUGGGGAUUAGGGUUCUUGGUGGAAUUGUUGUCCGCCUCCAAUUUUUCGUCUCCUUUUACUGAUUCUCUUCCCCUCUAUUUAUCUCCUGCAGAUUAGGGUUUUGAUUUGGUACCCAAAGAUUCAAUGGAGAAAAUUUCCAGAUGUGCUUUUUGCGCUCAGAAUCGAGUUUGUCCUGUUUGAUGCUACAAUCUGGAAACGUGAAAUUGGUGAGCUUUGGUUUUCACAUAAUUAUUUUGCAGUAACUUUGCUGCAGUUGGCAAUAGGUUUAUUUUGGAAAUGAAGAAUGGUUUCCUCUUGGCAAGCCUGGAUGCUUCAAAGACAGUGAGAGAGAUAGCCAACUGAUGGUUCAGAUGGUUAUACGGCAAUGUACCAUACUCUUGCAGGUGGUUACGGGAUACUUGUUUGACAUCUGUGUCGUGACUGUCUGCCACUAGUUCAGAGCUAUGCGGCGAUUCAGCAUUAGGCAAUGAUUCAGGUUGAGGCAGUUCAAGGGGCCUUGGUUUUGUACCCGGUUUUGGGUGGCUUGUGCAUCCAGCAUCUCAGGAUUUAAGUCAUUGACUUUCUCGAUUGCAUCUUCAACGUUACCACUUUGUACUGCCUUCUUAACAGCCAUCCGACCAGUGAUUGUAGCAAGAUCAAUGUCAGGCUCGGUUCCAAACUCCUUACGAAAUUUCUCAGCAACUUCAACGAAGCCCUCAGGGACAAGGAAAUUCAUUACCAAUUUAUUCAUGUCUUCUUUCCUAAUCUUGACGUUAUUCAGCUUCCUCCCCCACUCUUUCUUUGGAAUCACUUUCUUUGAUGCCGCCAUUGCCUCAAUUUCUGCUAGCUGACGAAGGAGGACAUGCUGAGUUAUUGUACCUGACACAAUGGACGGGAAACUCUGAGCAGCCAAUGGCGACACCGCAUUUUCAACUGUUAGCCAAUAGAGAUAGUUGACCUGAAACAAUGCCUUCAGCAUAUCCUGCUAUGAACAAUUUUCUUUAAGCACCACAUAGAAUUUUCCCAUAUGCUCGGACAAAAAGGGUAGCCUUUAUUUUAUAAAGUGAAAAAGAGAGCAAGCACUUCCUCCUUAUUCUCGAUGAUUUUACUGAGUUUUGAUCCGAACUGCAGACGACUUUCAAUUUCUACAGCUGCAGCCUUGGCUUCAUAUGAUAAGACAAUUGGUUGUGCUUUUUGUUUUGGAAUUCAGGGGCAUAUUGAUGAUCCAUCUACUGGUACCUAUUGGUUCGUCUUGUCACAAUUUCGGCAUUAAAAUGAUGUUCUCUGUUGCUUCUAGGCUCAAAAGGGGCGGUUUGACGGACUUGAAGCCAAAGUAACAAAAAUCCUGUCUUGUAGUUCACACCAUGCCGACAUUUACUUACGGUAGCUUCUUCUUUGCUCAUGCCAUCUCAGGGCAUCGAAAUCUGAUCAGUGGUAACCUGUAAAAUAAGUAGCUGCAUAACAAUAUGAUUCUUUGUUCUUGAGAUAACAUAUGUGUCCGUUUGCAAAUUAUCAUCAUCAUACUCAUCAUUUGUCAAAUCAUGGUGACGAGCCAUCAGUACUGCUCUUCUUAUUGCAUGCAAGUCCUCCAUCAGUAAGUCUGAUUGCACAGAAACGAAGAAAUGCAAUUGCAUUAAGGCUCACAUCACUAUUGAACCAGCCAUUUGUAAAUGUCAAAAGGCAUCCAGCACAAUCAGUGAAGGUCGUUGUUUCUGCGGUUGUUGUCCAUCCUGAGAGAAACAUUCCAUCAGUUACAGGAGAAGGAAAAACAGCUAGGACCUUUUCAAGAUUGGUAUCAUAAAUUGCAACCAUGUCGUCCUCAAUAUCACCGGCCUCAUAGAGAAGGUUUGAAGCAUUCAUAAUAAGUGGAAGGUUCAUCCUAAGCUUAGCCUUGAUGAUCUUUUCAACAACGUCCUUCAACUUUGAGCGGUUUGUAUUUAUUUCAAGCAAUACCGGACUCUCGGAGCAAACAUAACAUGAUUUGUUUGGUUCAAACGGCUCCACUGGCAUAAGCAGCAGGUUUCUUGAUGGGCGUUCCAGGUAAUAUGUCAUUCUUCAUCUGAUGCUUCUGCAGCAUAUACUUCUGCUUUCGGUAUCCACCAUGGCUGCAGCAUCGGAGCCUAAGGCAUGUGCUUCUGACGACAAAUGCUUGCAUAUAAUUCCCCAAUAAAGAGCAGCCUCUGCUUAGUGUUUGUCAGUCACGUUUUAUGCCGCAGAUUUUGUGACCACGACAUGUUCCUGUGGAAAAAUUGUUGUAGCUUUAAGAUGCACGGCACGUUGUGAUGCAGCUAUUCAUUUGUCAUCGGCUUGCGCCGCUUUGUAUUUGGCUUGUGGCUUAUGGCAGCUGGUGCUUUAGAAGUCGUUGCUUUGCUUAGCAGCUGUGUGAAGUUGUUUUUAUUUUCCAAUUCUGCAACUGUUCCCAUUGGCUUGGAUGUAGCUCAUGUUUGUCAUGGAUAAUGGUGUGUGUUUGUAAAAUGUGACAAGAAUGGUGAGACCUUGGUUUAUGAAAAUUGGGUGUUUGGUUAUAAAAUGGAUAUGGAUGUGAUGCAUUGUUAUGCUUGAAUGUUAAAUGAAAAUGUAUGUAUGAAAAUGAGUUUGGAAAUGUUUGAAAGUUAAAUAUUACUGAAUGUUAUGAAA